AGCGCUAAUAGACCAGAAUCGAUCUAGUCUCCAUACACGGCGGUAUAAUAUUAUGUGUGUGUAUGGAGAUUAGAUCGAUUUCGGUCUAUUAGCGC
Molecule: microRNA precursor, 95 nt
Filed under: Anopheles maculatus
Lineage: Eukaryota; Metazoa; Arthropoda; Insecta; Diptera; Culicidae
Source: RNAcentral